GACGAACGCUGGCGGCGUGCUUAACACAUGCAAGUCGAACGGAAAGGCCCUGCUUUUGUGGGGUGCUCGAGUGGCGAACGGGUGAGUAACACGUGAGUAACCUGCCCUUGACUUUGGGAUAACUUCAGGAAACUGGGGCUAAUACCGGAUAGGAGCUCCUGCUGCAUGGUGGGGGUUGGAAAGUCUCGGCGGUUGGGGAUGGACUCGCGGCUUAUCAGCUUGUUGGUGGGGUAGUGGCUUACCAAGGCUUUGACGGGUAGCCGGCCUGAGAGGGUGACCGGCCACAUUGGGACUGAGAUACGGCCCAGACUCCUACGGGAGGCAGCAGUGGGGAAUAUUGCACAAUGGGCGGAAGCCUGAUGCAGCAACGCCGCGUGCGGGAUGACGGCCUUCGGGUUGUAAACCGCUUUCGCCUGUGACGAAGCGUGAGGGACGGUAAUGGGUAAAGAAGCACCGGCUAACUACGU
This 467-nucleotide ribosomal RNA is filed under the name uncultured bacterium. Its description in RNAcentral is "partial 16S ribosomal RNA". It matches the Rfam family "Bacterial small subunit ribosomal RNA", at positions 28 to 506 of the family's 1533-position model. The record is from RNAcentral.